RNAcentral lists this ribosomal RNA (429 nucleotides) under Chloroflexota bacterium. RNAcentral's name for it is "Chloroflexi bacterium partial 16S ribosomal RNA". It matches the Rfam family "Bacterial small subunit ribosomal RNA", at positions 355 to 776 of the family's 1533-position model. The record is from RNAcentral. Lineage: Bacteria; Bacillati; Chloroflexota.
UGGGGAAUAUUGCACAAUGGGCGCAAGCCUGAUGCAGCCAUGCCGCGUGUGUGAAGAAGGCCUUCGGGUUGUAAAGCACUUUCAGCGGGGAGGAAGGCGGUGAGGUUAAUAACCUCACCGAUUGACGUUACCCGCAGAAGAAGCACCGGCUAACUCCGUGCCAGCAGCCGCGGUAAUACGGAGGGUGCAAGCGUUAAUCGGAAUUACUGGGCGUAAAGCGCACGCAGGCGGUCUGUCAAGUCGGAUGUGAAAUCCCCGGGCUCAACCUGGGAACUGCAUCUGAUACUGGCAAGCUUGAGUCUCGUAGAGGGGGGUAGAAUUCCAGGUGUAGCGGUGAAAUGCGUAGAGAUCUGGAGGAAUACCGGUGGCGAAGGCGGCCCCCUGGACAAAGACUGACGCUCAGGUGCGAAAGCGUGGGGAGCAAACAGG